UAUUUCUUCUUCUUUUUUCAACUUGGACCAAUGGUCCAUUUAUUAAUAAAGGAGAAAAAUACAGGCUUGAUUAAGACAGCCCCAGACGAACAAAAAGGAAUUGCAAAUUCCAGACAAAGAAAAUAACAAAUCUAAAGAAAAGGGAAGUCUUUAGAGAAGGACCAAGAUCCUCACGCCUUUCAUCUUUAAAUUCGAUUCAGUGAAGCUCCAGUUUGCCUUACCUUUUUUGCCGGCUUCGAAGCAUGUAUCCACGAGCUUAGGCAAGAUUCACUUCGGCAGUACCAAGUCUCACUACUGCCAUGAAUUCGACUUCAUUAAAGACUUCUUCCGCCCCCAGCUUGGCUUCAAACCCAACAAAUCAGGUAUGCCCCUUCCCUUGUGACAAAGAAAUUACCUCAGAGAGUUGUGUUAACCUUUUCCAUAACUUGUGCAGGCUGAGCUCCACAUAAAUGAUACCACUGCCUCAAGUCGUGGUUUAGAUCAACUCAAUCCUUCAAGAUGUUAGACCGAGGUAACCCUCAAACAAUAUGCCUUGUUAUUUGUUUAGAGAUUCCAUGUGUUGCCCAUUCGAUCUUACAGUCCUUGAGUACUUAUUUUGCACAUUUGUCUUCAUCGUGAAUGCUUAAAUUGAUUGUUUUGUCCUUUCUUGAGUCUGAGAAUUGGUGCUCCUUGCUUGUCCAACUGUAGUAAAGUUUUUGCCUGAUUUGGUAGUUCAUUAGUAUGAUUAAACUGGAUAUCUUCACCUGCAAAAUCAACAAUAAAAUUAGUUAAGAAGUCUGCCGGUGAAUUCCCUUCUCGAAAUGUUUGACCCACUGCCACUUCUUUAUUGAGCAUAGCUUCCUUGAUCUCCCUUAUGUCUGCUGAAAUAAGCCAAGGAACUUCCCAAUUCUCAUCCAAGAUCUUCGUAAUGAUUAACGAAUUUGUUUCCAUUAUCAGAGGUAAAAUAUUAUGGCUUAAGCAAUAAAAUAAACCAUCUUUAAAUCCUUUAACUUUAGCCUUUAAUACUGAACAAAACUCCAACUUGCUAGCUUUAGCAUAAACCAAAUCUCCAUAACCAUCUCUUAUGCAAAAUGCCUUGGAACACAUGUCAUGGUUGACUUGACAAGAAGCAUCAGAGUUACAUUUGUAUCUUCUUCCCUCAGGGCACUUCCACCGUAUCACCUUGGUUCUUAUUAGAGGUGUAUAACUUUCCAGAAAUUGUACAAUCUCUGGCCAGGUGUUAGGCAUUUCUACCAACCAAGGGUACUUUGCUCUUGCCAUGAAGUAUACAUUUCUAUUGAUCUCCAACACCAUUGCAUGUCUAGUGAUACUUCCCCAUGUAAGACUAUAUUUCUCCUUUUCCACAAUUGCCAAAUGAUUAAAGAUGGCAUGGCUCUACACAGAGGUGUUAAUUUAGCUGCACGGUCCUUUGUCUGUCUCAUCUGACGGAAUGGACCUUGCAUGCCCAUUGCUGCUGCAAACAACUUCCAUAAAUAAUUAGCAUCAGGACAUGUUAUAAAUAGGUGGUUAAAAUAUUCAUGUUCCUGACUGUUACAACAACAACACUCAAUGGAAUCAACAAUCCUGCACCUAACUAGGACUUCUCCUAUUGGAAUCCUCUUAAACCAUAUCCACCACAUCAGAAAAGAUAUUUUGAAAAGUAGGCCUUUCUCCCAUAUAAAUAAUAUAUCUUUUUGAGGAUCCUUCCUGCUUCUGAUAAUAUCACAUGCACUCUUUACUGAAAAGUUUCUUUUACCGUUGGGCAUCCACCACUGCUUGUCCCUCUCCUCUACAUGUUGAGUAUGACCCAAUAUAGCUUUUACAUGAUCACAAAUAUCUUUAUCAAAAAGUUCAUUCAUCAGGUUUACAUUCCAUCUUCCAUCCAAUCUGAGCUGAUUAACUUCUUCCAGGUUCUCAGGAAUAACAUGAUCAAUAGGCAUAAUAUAGUGUAAAGCUCCAAAUUGUGUCCAAUUAUCAUACCAUAAGCUAGCAUGACCACAUCUAGGUUCCCACCAUAUUUCUUGAUCAAAACUAUCUCUGGCCAUUAACAUCAUCUUUCAAACUUGAGAUCCACCUUUCCAUUCCACCACUUAGGGUCUAUACCUCUUACAAUACUUAUUCCACAUAAACUGGGACCAUAGUGAAUUUUUUGUUCUAAAAUUCCACCAUAGUUUUGCAAAAACAGCUUUGGACACAUCAAAUAGAGAUUUGAACCCAAGACCCCCUUCCUCUUUAGGUAGACAAAUGCCAUCCAUGCUAUACAGUGCUUUGACUUGCCAUUUUCUUUGAAGUUCCAAAGAAACUUUGCAAACAUUCUAUGAAGGUCCUUAACUACACAUUUUGGUGGCACUAACACUGAUAAUAAGUAAAUAAGAAUACUUUGCAACACAUGAUUGAUCAGUACAACCUUACCACUAAAGGACAUGAACUUACUUUUCCAGACUUUCAACUUAUUUUGAACAGUUUUAAUCAGUUCAUUAAAAUGAGAUUACUUCAUCUUUGCAUGACUAAUAGGUCAUCCUAAAUAAAUUAUGGGGAAAUUACCUCUUACAAUAGUUUCCUCCACUGCCUGUAUAAGAGCAUUACCAGCUAUAUUAAACAUGUAGAAGUGGCUCUUAUCUUUAUUGAUCUUUUACCCUGAUUGGUUUUCAUACUCCUUCAAAGUAUACAUAAUAAGAUCAAUAGAUUUCUUCUCAGUAGCAGCAAAUAUGAUUGUAUCAUCUGCAUAAGCAAUAUGAUUUAACCUCUCACUCCACUUUGGCAUCCCAUAUCCUUUGAAUUCAGUAUUAUAAAACAAUUGGUUUAGUGCUCUGGUGAGCACUUCUAUAGUGAUUAUAAAUAAAGCAGGUGAUAGAGGAUCCCCUACUUCACCCCUCUAGAGGAAUGAAAAAAACCAUGUGUCUGGCCAUUAAUUAGAAUAGAGUACCAGUUGUUGGCUAUCAGUCUUCAAAUCAUAUCAACCACCACUGAGUUAAAGCCCAUAUGUUCAAGUACUUUCAGUAGGAAAUUCCAAUUCACCCUAUCAUAAGAUUUAGCCAUGUCUAGCUUCAUCACAACAUUGGCUGGCUUACCUCUUUUUUUGAUAUCUGUGAUAAUUUCUUGUGCUAAUAGUACAUUUUCUGAGAUGCUUCCACUCUUCACAAAUCCAGACUGAUUUACAGAAAUUAUUCUUGGUAAUAAGUCUUCAAGUCUAUCAUGUAAUGUUCUAGAGAUCACCUUAUUUAUGAAAUUACUUAGACUAAUUGGUCUUAAGUCUGAGAAGGUUUGAAUGAUCUCCUUCUUAGGCAAUAAAACCAAAUUAGUGUGAGUAAUAGAUUUAGGAAGGGUGUUUCCCUGGAAAAAUGAUUAAACAAUAUCCACAAUAUCUGCUCCAACUAUCUCCCAACAAGCCUGAAAGAAGUGUCAUGUAAAACCCUCUAGACCACAUAUAUGCUCCCCAUUAAGCUCAAAGACUAUUUUUUUAAUCUUAUUUUCCUCAGGUAUUGCCUGUAGGAGAUCAUUUUCUUAAAUAGUCACCAGAGGGCGAAUGUUCUGUAAGAGGGAAAAGUCACUUUACACGUUGGUUCCAGAAAAUUGUUUCUGAAAGAAACUUAUUGCUUUAACUGCCACUUCAUCCUCUCCUUGGGCCCACUGACCAUCAGUUUUCAGUAUUCUCUGAAUAUUCAAUCUUUUCCUCCUGCCUCUUACCAAGCCAUGAAAAUAUUUGAUGUUCCUAUCUCCCUCUAAAUGUCAUUGAAUACUUGCCUUCUGCCUUCAAAACUCCUCAUCAUAGUGUAAGUACACCUUAUAUUCAGCAUAAGCUUGCUGUAGAAUAGCUCUAUUAGAUGAUGCAAGAUUUUACUCAUAUAAAUCCUCCUUCAUCUUAGCUAUUUCUUCUCUGAUAUGUAGUUAUUUGAAGAUAUCACCAAAUUGUUCCCUACUCCAUUUGGAUAAGGACAUUUUUGUGCUUUUAGAUCUUAACUUCCAUUGUAGUAAAACAUCAUCAGAGUGAACUUCAUUCCAGCUAGCCUUCACCACAUCUUUAAAUUCUGCCUUGUCAAUCAAAAAUCUUAAAUACCUGAAUAGUUUUAUAAAAUUCUGGUUCUGACCUCCAUAUUUUAGUAGUAAUGGUGAUUAGUCAGAUCCAGUUCUAGCUAGGUGUUGCAGUUCCAAGUUGCCAAGUACAUCUUGUAGCUUCUGAUUGAUUAACACUUUAUCAUAUCUUUUAAAUAUACAUUCUCCAUCAGAUCUUUCAUUCCACUAAUUAAAUGGGCUGCCAGAGAAAUUUAUAUCAAACAGGCCACAAGAAUUGAUACAAAAAGCAAAGUCCUCAUAUCUUUGGAUAUAAACAUGAAGACCUCUUAUCUUUUCAUCUUCCCUCAGAAUUACAUUGUAGUCUCCCCCUACCAUCGAGUAUUGAUCAUUAAUGUAAUACAAGUCAUUCCAAAGUUCUAUCAUCUCCUAUGCUGAACAUUUGGCAUAUAUCAUAGUAGUAAGCAAUUGUUGUCCAUCUUCCAAUGUGAGCUGAAGAGCGAUUUGCUGAUCAUUAUCUGAGAUCACCCCUACCUGAAUAUGAUCUCUUAUAAAUACCCAUAUCUUUCCAUUUGAGUUGUAGUUCACAUAAUUCAUCCCUAAUCUCCUCUUAAAAUUUUGUAUUUUCCUAGUACCUUGAAAUGGUUCUGGCAAAGCAAUUAAGAAUAAUUUAUGAUGUAUGUGUAGCAUUUGAACUCUGUGGAAUGUAUUUUGAGUUCGCAUAGACCUUAUGUUCCAAAUGAGUGCUUUCAUUAUCAUCUAAUUGAUGGCUUUACCACUAUCUUGGCAUGUAUUCUUGUUGGUUGAACUUCAACCUCCUUUUUAUUUUUACCUUUUUUGUCUUUCGAUAAAACUAAAGGAGAGAGUCCAGCCUCUUUACAUACCACCACUACAUUUUGAUCACUAUUCACUUCAUUAUUAUCUUCUAUGAACUCAUUGGUAUCUUUGCUCUACACCAUCAUAUCCUCUUGACUUUGAUGUGAUACUAGUAUGUGUAGUUUCUCCAUAGGGGCUGAUUUGGCACUAUAAAUCAUUAUUGUUGACCUAUUACUUCUCUGCUGCUGGUAUAUCUGGAUCUAGUAUUGCUUCACAAGAAAGUCUUUCUCCAACAAAUGGAACUGCAAUUUGAAGGGAAGUUUGGUAAUCAGCCUCAACUAGUUUUUCCAUUAGUAACCUGUCUUACUCUUCUUUAUAUGUGGCCUUCACUACUGCAACAACCCCUGAUUCUUUUAUAUUUAUCUGAUGAAGAUUGAUCUCCUCUGAAAUUUUCUUUGCAGGACCAAUCAUCAAUUAUUUUUCUCCUUCUCCAAUCCUUAUAUCUAUCAUUCCUUGUGACUGUUGAUCAUUAUGCCCCAAAUGUUCGUCCAUUAAUUCCCCAUUAUGUUUUUUUCUGCAUUAUUGGUAUUGUCCUGCUCUGUGGUGCUGUUAAAGCUACUAGUGUCACCCCCUCCCUUUCCUGGAUAAUUGGCAAAAACAUUAGUUAUCCACUCUUUUAUGGAUGAGUGAUGAUGACCUUUAUUAGCUUCCCUCUGACUCUUGACUUCACUAGUUUUAUCAUUAAUAUCAUUUCCCCCAGUAGAUUCCUCCGGUGGCCUCUCUUAUUUCUUCUCAGCUAGUGCAGCAAAAGCAUUAUCAGUAUUAAUGUUUUUGUCUGACUUUCUUUGUACUCCAGCUUCUUGUUCAACCUCCCUGUCUCUUGACUCUUGUAUGUUAAUGGGUUUCCAAUAUCUCCGAAUAACUUUUCUCCUUCUUGUUGCAAAUUCAUUGCCCUGCUCUUCAUUGUUGUUACCUUUUGGCCCUUGUUCUGUCUCCUUUUUAGUGUAUUCCUUAAUCUGCCUCAGUUCGGGAUGUGAGUUUCUACAUGU
Molecule: long non-coding RNA, 5855 nt
Filed under: Solanum tuberosum (potato)
Lineage: Eukaryota; Viridiplantae; Streptophyta; Magnoliopsida; Solanales; Solanaceae
Description: long non-coding RNA (STUB_LNC008225)
Source: RNAcentral